Planococcus citri (citrus mealybug) is the source of this 889-nucleotide long non-coding RNA. RefSeq lists it as uncharacterized. The transcript has 4 exons. The record is from RefSeq and is a predicted model, not a curated record. NCBI's taxonomy places the organism in Eukaryota, Metazoa, Arthropoda, Insecta, Hemiptera, Pseudococcidae.
GUUUAGCUCUCGUAGGGCGCUACAGUACAGCUGAAUGGAUGGGAUUGUUUUGUUUUUAUCUGUAAGGUGUUUUCUUGUUCGCGAGUUACUUAUGGAUUUUACGUAUUAUUUUGUAGUAAAUUUUCAAUUUUUUAACGUAUAUGCAAAAUCAAUUUGUAGUGUAGUUCAUAGAGACGUUUUUCGAAGUGUAUUUCGAUCUGUCGACCUGAUAUUUACAUCGUAACGAACUUUUUCCAAGGACAUCUAACUGAACUGCUGGUUAUCUCUACGUAAAGAUACAUAUUAUUGAAUUUUGAAGUUGCCGAUUAAUAUUGAAAAAUGUCUCGAUUUAGAGGAGUUAACUCGUUGUCUAGGAAUUUUCGUGAUGCUAGAGCUCCAGGGACGGCCGAAGAUGGCAUCUUCAGUUUCCUCUUCAAAGACCUCCGUGACGAGUUAAAAGGUAUAAGGGAAUGCUAUGAUAAGGCGAACGCAAAUUACGCGCUACUCAGUAAUCAAAUUGCGUUAGCAGAAAAAGCCAGGCAAGAAGAUUAUCGUCAUAUUUGUCAACAUUUAUCCAGAUCCCAACUGGGUAUUUACAUCUUGUGUGUGGGAUGCUCGCUAAUUUUCGUCGAAAGUUUUAUCGGGUGGAAAGAAGUAGCAUACUCUUUCAUAAGGCAAAUGAGACAUGAUUUACCUGUAUUGAAGAAAAUAAGAAAGGAAUAGUGUUUCAGGAAAAAUUAUCUCCGAUGUAAUCUACCUACCUACGUUAUAAAUUUUUUAUUAUUAUUUACGUUUUAUGUAAAAAGAAACCUAUCUGUGUGGCCGGAAAUGUAUUGUGUUCAUUGGUACAAUUUUUUAAAUUAUCUUGUAAAUAACUGUUACGAAUUAAUAAAAAUUAUGUGUUACUUCA